UAUCUCUGUAGAGUCUGCAUAUCAAUAAGCGGAGGAAAAGAAACUAACUAGGAUUCCCUCAGUAACGGCGAGUGAAGCGGGAAGAGCUCAAAUUUGAAAUCUUCAAGGUUCUACCUUGACGAAUUGUAGUUUAAAGAAGUGUUUUCUGUUGGAGUUUUGGUAAAAGUUCUUUGGAAUAGGACAUCAUAGAGGGUGAGAAUCCCGUAUUUGACCAUUAUUUCCAGCUUUGUGAUACACUUUCAAAGAGUCGGAUUGUUUGGGAACGCAGUCCAAAAUGGGUGGUAAAUUUCAUCUAAAGCUAAAUACUGGCGAGAGACCGAUAGCGAACAAGUACCGUGAGGGAAAGAUGAAAAGAACUUUGAAAAGAGAGUUAAACAGCACGUGAAAUUGUCAAAAGGGAAGCGUUUGACACCAGUGUUGUUUUCUCGAAAAUCAAUUAAAAAUGGUGGGAUUUUGUGUUGUAUUGACUUUAUCAGCUUUCUGCACUUUUUUCCUAUCUUUUUUAAUGCACUUUUCGUUUAACAAGUCAACAUCAAUUUCUUUUGUUGUAAAAGGGUCAUUGGAAGGUGGCUUUCUUUUCGGAGAAAGUGUUUAUAGCCUUUGGCCUCUGCAAUCGGAGAGAUUGAGGUCUGCAGCGUAGAUCCUUCGGGGUUAGAUACAUUUGUGCUAAGUUAUAGCCUUUCAUAGACAACUUGUUGACUAUGAUCAGUCAUGUAGCCUACUCGCUUAUGUUAUUUUACCUACGCUUAGGAUGUUGAGUAGCGACAUACGCAC
This 774-nucleotide ribosomal RNA is filed under the name uncultured Neocallimastigales. RNAcentral's name for it is "partial large subunit ribosomal RNA". It matches the Rfam family "Eukaryotic large subunit ribosomal RNA", at positions 24 to 649 of the family's 3401-position model. Lineage: Eukaryota; Fungi; Neocallimastigomycota; Neocallimastigomycetes; Neocallimastigales. The record is from RNAcentral.